AGUCGUAACAAGGUAUCCGUAGGUGAACCUGCGGAUGGAUCAUUAUAGGGUGUUGGGUAAUUGUGAGUGGUUUUAUUAUUAGUAGUUUGAGCGGUGUUGGUUGGGAUGCGAAGCAGGAUUGCCAAGCAGGAUUGCCAAGCAGGAUUGCCAAGCAAGACAGCCAACAUUGCCUCACGUUAAACUCUAUAAAUCUAACAAUUACAUACAAAAAAAAACAACUUUUAGCAACGGAUCUCUUGGCUCUC
This 245-nucleotide unclassified non-coding RNA is filed under the name fungal sp. RNAcentral describes it as "partial internal transcribed spacer region". The stretch from base 1 to 45 matches the Rfam family "Eukaryotic small subunit ribosomal RNA", at positions 1787 to 1831 of the family's 1831-position model. The record is from RNAcentral. Lineage: Eukaryota; Fungi.